RNAcentral lists this transfer RNA (82 nucleotides) under Bacteroidota bacterium. RNAcentral describes it as "Bacteroidetes bacterium tRNA-Leu". It matches the Rfam family "tRNA". From Rfam's summary of the family: Transfer RNA (tRNA) molecules are approximately 80 nucleotides in length. Their secondary structure includes four short double-helical elements and three loops (D, anti-codon, and T loops). The record is from RNAcentral. Lineage: Bacteria; Pseudomonadati; Bacteroidota.
GCUUUCGUGGCGAAACUGGUUCACGCAGCGUCCUUAGAAGUCGUGUCAGAAAUGACUGAGGGUUCGACUCCCUCCGAGAGCA